RNAcentral lists this ribosomal RNA (353 nucleotides) under uncultured ectomycorrhiza (Basidiomycota). RNAcentral's name for it is "eukaryotic LSU rRNA". The stretch from base 191 to 353 matches the Rfam family "Eukaryotic large subunit ribosomal RNA", at positions 1 to 160 of the family's 3401-position model. Lineage: Eukaryota; Fungi; Basidiomycota. The record is from RNAcentral.
UAAUAUAUCAACCUUCUCUUGUUGAGUGGUUUGGAUGUGGGGGUUUGCUGGCCUCUUGAAAGAGGUUAUAGCUCUCCUGAAAUGCAUUAGCGGAACAACCCUGUUCAUUGGUGUGAUAACUAUCUACGCUAUUGAAUGUGAAGGGCAGUUUGGCUUUCUAACAGUCCUUGGACAAAGCUCAUCAUUAAUGUGACCUCAAAUCAGGUAGGACUACCCGCUGAACUUAAGCAUAUCAAUAAGCGGAGGAAAAGAAACUAACAAGGAUUCCCCUAGUAACUGCGAGUGAAGCGGGAAAAGCUCAAAUUUAAAAUCUGGCGGUCUUUUGGCUGUCCGAGUUGUAAUCUAGAGAAGUG